Molecule: ribosomal RNA, 279 nt
Filed under: uncultured Lactobacillus sp.
Lineage: Bacteria; Bacillati; Bacillota; Bacilli; Lactobacillales; Lactobacillaceae
Description: partial 16S ribosomal RNA
Rfam family: Bacterial small subunit ribosomal RNA
Source: RNAcentral
GUGCCAGCAGCUGCGGUAAUACGUAGGUGGCAAGCGUUAUCCGGAUUUAUUGGGCGUAAAGAGAGUGCAGGCGGUUUUCUAAGUCUGAUGUGAAAGCCUUCGGCUUAACCGGAGAAGUGCAUCGGAAACUGGAUAACUUGAGUGCAGAAGAGGGUAGUGGAACUCCAUGUGUAGCGGUGGAAUGCGUAGAUAUAUGGAAGAACACCAGUGGCGAAGGCGGCUACCUGGUCUGCAACUGACGCUGAGACUCGAAAGCAUGGGUAGCGAACAGGAUUAGAU